GCAGCAGCAAGAUGGUGUAAUUUGAUCUUUUCUCCCGCGUUGCCUUACCCAGGUUACUCUUUAUUUUCUCCCUCCUCUUUUAAUCGUUUGUUUCCUUAAUUCUUUUGAGUUUUGAAACACACUUGAUGUGUAUAAUAGAUGAAGAACAAUUGAACGAAAAAUGGGUGACGGAUGGCAGUAAUUGGUAGGAAGUUAAUGGGGUUCCUUAUCCCAACUUUCUUCUUUUUUACUCAUUAUUGUCUCGUUUCGUGAUCAUGGAUUAUUCAUCAGAAAAUCCAGUUAGCUUUGUCUUGUUUUUUUCUUGGAGGU
Caenorhabditis elegans is the source of this 309-nucleotide non-coding RNA. The record is from Ensembl. Lineage: Eukaryota; Metazoa; Nematoda; Chromadorea; Rhabditida; Rhabditidae.